UACGGAGGGUGCAAGCGUUAUCCGGAUUCACUGGGUUUAAAGGGUGUGUAGGCGGGUAUUUAAGUCAGUGGUGAAAUCUCCAGGCUCAACCUGGAAACUGCCAUUGAUACUAUUUAUCUUGAAUAUCGUUGAGGUUGGCGGAAUAUAUCAUGUAGCGGUGAAAUGCAUAGAUAUGAUAUAGAACACCGAUUGCGAAGGCAGCUAACUAAGCGAUUAUUGACGCUGAGGCACGAAAAGCGUGGGGGAUCAAACAGG
RNAcentral lists this ribosomal RNA (255 nucleotides) under uncultured bacterium. RNAcentral's name for it is "partial 16S ribosomal RNA". It matches the Rfam family "Bacterial small subunit ribosomal RNA", at positions 524 to 776 of the family's 1533-position model. The record is from RNAcentral.